This 623-nucleotide ribosomal RNA is filed under the name Klebsiella pneumoniae. RNAcentral's name for it is "partial 23S ribosomal RNA". It matches the Rfam family "Bacterial large subunit ribosomal RNA", at positions 762 to 1382 of the family's 2925-position model. Lineage: Bacteria; Pseudomonadati; Pseudomonadota; Gammaproteobacteria; Enterobacterales; Enterobacteriaceae. The record is from RNAcentral.
CUAACUGGAGGACCGAACCGACUAAUGUUGAAAAAUUAGCGGAUGACUUGUGGCUGGGGGUGAAAGGCCAAUCAAACCGGGAGAUAGCUGGUUCUCCCCGAAAGCUAUUUAGGUAGCGCCUCGUGAACUCAUCUUCGGGGGUAGAGCACUGUUUCGGCUAGGGGGUCAUCCCGACUUACCAACCCGAUGCAAACUACGAAUACCGAAGAAUGUUAUCACGGGAGACACACGGCGGGUGCUAACGUCCGUCGUGAAGAGGGAAACAACCCAGACCGCCAGCUAAGGUCCCAAAGUCAUGGUUAAGUGGGAAACGAUGUGGGAAGGCACAGACAGCCAGGAUGUUGGCUUAGAAGCAGCCAUCAUUUAAAGAAAGCGUAAUAGCUCACUGGUCGAGUCGGCCUGCGCGGAAGAUGUAACGGGGCUAAACCAUGCACCGAAGCUGCGGCAGCGACACUAUGUGUUGUUGGGUAGGGGAGCGUUCUGUAAGCCUGCGAAAGUGUGCUGUGAGGCAUGCUGGAGGUAUCAGAAGUGCGAAUGCUGACAUAAGUAACGAUAAAGCGGGUGAAAAGCCCGCUCGCCGGAAGACCAAGGGUUCCUGUCCAACGUUAAUCGGGGCAGGGUGA